Non-coding RNA from Myxocyprinus asiaticus (Chinese sucker), 537 nucleotides. The record is from the annotation of a RefSeq genome assembly. NCBI's taxonomy places the organism in Eukaryota, Metazoa, Chordata, Actinopteri, Cypriniformes, Catostomidae.
UUUAUAACACAUUGCUGUUUUUCAUUGUACAAAACCAACAAACACAAAAAUGAAUUUCUUCAUCUUUAUUUGGAUUAUGGGAGCUUUUAUUCCAGAAUCCAGAGGAGUCACUGUAACUCAGACUGAAGUUGUAACUAUAACUGAAGGAAAAACAGCCACUAUAGAGUGUAAAACUGAUUCUGGAAUCAAUGGCUGGGGUUUAGCUUGGUAUCAGCAGAAACCUGGAGAAGCUCCAAAACUCAUCAUUUAUGGCGUAAACGAACAGUAUGAUGAUAGUUUUCAGCGAUUCAGUGGAAAUGGACAAAGAGGUGGAACUGAUUUCACUCUGACCAUCAGUGGAGUCCAGACUGAAGAUGCAGCACAUUAUUACUGUCAGAGUGUACACUACAUCAACAGUAAAGAUGUGUUCACACAGUGAUAAAGAGUCGUACAAAAACCUCUGUCAGUCACACUGCACUGAUACACUGACAGAUACUGCAGCUGCUCACACACACACACACACACACACACACACACACACACACACACACACACACA